AGCGGCGGACGGGUGAGUAACACGUGGGUAACCUACCUAUAAGACUGGGAUAACUCCGGGAAACCGGGGCUAAUACCGGAUAAUAUUUUGAACCGCAUGGUUCAAUAGUGAAAGACGGUUUCGGCUGUCACUUAUAGAUGGACCCGCGCCGUAUUAGCUAGUUGGUAAGGUAACGGCUUACCAAGGCGACGAUACGUAGCCGACCUGAGAGGGUGAUCGGCCACACUGGAACUGAGACACGGUCCAG
Molecule: ribosomal RNA, 247 nt
Filed under: uncultured bacterium
Lineage: Bacteria
Description: partial 16S ribosomal RNA
Rfam family: Bacterial small subunit ribosomal RNA
Source: RNAcentral